This 1552-nucleotide ribosomal RNA is filed under the name Salmonella enterica subsp. enterica serovar Indiana. Its description in RNAcentral is "bacterial SSU rRNA". It matches the Rfam family "Bacterial small subunit ribosomal RNA". RNAcentral also lists the same sequence under 2 other names. Lineage: Bacteria; Pseudomonadati; Pseudomonadota; Gammaproteobacteria; Enterobacterales; Enterobacteriaceae. The record is from RNAcentral.
AAAUUGAAGAGUUUGAUCAUGGCUCAGAUUGAACGCUGGCGGCAGGCCUAACACAUGCAAGUCGAACGGUAACAGGAAGCAGCUUGCUGCUUCGCUGACGAGUGGCGGACGGGUGAGUAAUGUCUGGGAAACUGCCUGAUGGAGGGGGAUAACUACUGGAAACGGUGGCUAAUACCGCAUAACGUCGCAAGACCAAAGAGGGGGACCUUCGGGCCUCUUGCCAUCAGAUGUGCCCAGAUGGGAUUAGCUUGUUGGUGAGGUAACGGCUCACCAAGGCGACGAUCCCUAGCUGGUCUGAGAGGAUGACCAGCCACACUGGAACUGAGACACGGUCCAGACUCCUACGGGAGGCAGCAGUGGGGAAUAUUGCACAAUGGGCGCAAGCCUGAUGCAGCCAUGCCGCGUGUAUGAAGAAGGCCUUCGGGUUGUAAAGUACUUUCAGCGGGGAGGAAGGUGUUGUGGUUAAUAACCGCAGCAAUUGACGUUACCCGCAGAAGAAGCACCGGCUAACUCCGUGCCAGCAGCCGCGGUAAUACGGAGGGUGCAAGCGUUAAUCGGAAUUACUGGGCGUAAAGCGCACGCAGGCGGUCUGUCAAGUCGGAUGUGAAAUCCCCGGGCUCAACCUGGGAACUGCAUUCGAAACUGGCAGGCUUGAGUCUUGUAGAGGGGGGUAGAAUUCCAGGUGUAGCGGUGAAAUGCGUAGAGAUCUGGAGGAAUACCGGUGGCGAAGGCGGCCCCCUGGACAAAGACUGACGCUCAGGUGCGAAAGCGUGGGGAGCAAACAGGAUUAGAUACCCUGGUAGUCCACGCCGUAAACGAUGUCUACUUGGAGGUUGUGCCCUUGAGGCGUGGCUUCCGGAGCUAACGCGUUAAGUAGACCGCCUGGGGAGUACGGCCGCAAGGUUAAAACUCAAAUGAAUUGACGGGGGCCCGCACAAGCGGUGGAGCAUGUGGUUUAAUUCGAUGCAACGCGAAGAACCUUACCUGGUCUUGACAUCCACAGAACUUUCCAGAGAUGGACUGGUGCCUUCGGGAACUGUGAGACAGGUGCUGCAUGGCUGUCGUCAGCUCGUGUUGUGAAAUGUUGGGUUAAGUCCCGCAACGAGCGCAACCCUUAUCCUUUGUUGCCAGCGGUCCGGCCGGGAACUCAAAGGAGACUGCCAGUGAUAAACUGGAGGAAGGUGGGGAUGACGUCAAGUCAUCAUGGCCCUUACGACCAGGGCUACACACGUGCUACAAUGGCGCAUACAAAGAGAAGCGACCUCGCGAGAGCAAGCGGACCUCAUAAAGUGCGUCGUAGUCCGGAUUGGAGUCUGCAACUCGACUCCAUGAAGUCGGAAUCGCUAGUAAUCGUGGAUCAGAAUGCCACGGUGAAUACGUUCCCGGGCCUUGUACACACCGCCCGUCACACCAUGGGAGUGGGUUGCAAAAGAAGUAGGUAGCUUAACCUUCGGGAGGGCGCUUACCACUUUGUGAUUCAUGACUGGGGUGAAGUCGUAACAAGGUAACCGUAGGGGAACCUGCGGUUGGAUCACCUCCUUACCUUAAAGAA